GACGAACGCUGGCGGCGUGCUUAACACAUGCAAGUCGAGCGGUAAGGCCCUUUCGGGGGUACGACGAGCGGCGAACGGGUGAGUAACACGUGGGUGACCUGCCCUUACGCUCUGGGAUAAGCCUGGGAAACUAGGGUCUAAUACCGGAUAUGACUCCAUGACGCAUGUUGUGGGGUGGAAAGCCUUGUGCGGCUAGGGAUGGGCCCGCGGCCUAUCAGCUUGUUGGUGGGGUGAUGGCCUACCAAGGCGACGACGGGUAGCCGGCCUGAGAGGGCGACCGGCCACACUGGGACUGAGACACGGCCCAGACUCCUACGGGAGGCAGCAGUGGGGAAUCUUGCGCAAUGGGCGAAAGCCUGACGCAGCGACGCCGCGUGGGGAUGAC
RNAcentral lists this ribosomal RNA (385 nucleotides) under uncultured bacterium. Its description in RNAcentral is "bacterial SSU rRNA". It matches the Rfam family "Bacterial small subunit ribosomal RNA", at positions 28 to 412 of the family's 1533-position model. The record is from RNAcentral.